CCCUCUUCCCGAUACGAGAUUUUUCCUAAUAUCCUGCAUGAACCUCCCCUGGCACAGCUUGAGGCACCUCACUACGUGACUACCGGUAGUUGUCAUUUUCCCUUUUUCCCAAGGAGAUGGAUUUUUCCUGCCCGAAUUCGAGCAAGUUUCAUCCCAAAUCGCUCAGAGAGAAGAGAAGCUCCUGCGAUCCCUGAGUGAUGCAUGACUUUGUUUUACACGUUCCCGUGAGAUGCUUCUGGGCAGUUGGCAUGUUUCAAAAAACUUGUCGCUCGUGAGCUGGAGCAGAAACCUGACUGAGAGACACAGCAGGAACAGAUGCUGUGAACGACUGGUUGGCUUCAUUUGGCUCUCAGAGGUCUGGACAAAGGGGUAGUGCUGCAAUCUGGCAUGGACCUUGUGCCAUUCAGGGAGGUCUUGGUACAAAUCUAGCAAAGUCAUUGCUUCUUCAUGUCGGUGAGCUAAGCUUCGUCCUCUGUGCUGUAACCUUCCUCUCCAUAAAAUGGGGAAGAAGCCAUCCAGGGUAGAUGUUACUCCUUCCCUCAGAGAUCUUCAGCUUCUGUAACCUCACGGCCAAAGGAGUUGUCUCCUUAUGGAAGAGGAUUUGCUCCAAAACCCUCUCAAACUCAUGGACCUCUCAGCACUCCACAGGGCUGGCAGAUUGGUCCACGCCACUGAGACUUUUCCUAUGAAUAGGAGAAUACCAUGCUUUGUUGAGGCCCCUCGCACUCAGCCUUAUAACUCCUCUCCCAUUUGCUCCCACUUGGCUGGAAGCGGUAAGGAUCAUGCCAGCCUGGCCAGUGCUUAUUAAAAUGAAGAAGAAAGCAGGGCCUGCCUUGCAGUACAACGUAUGAUUCUGCUGCAACAUGGCGUGGAUGUAUUGUAAUUGUUUUCAAACAAGCUUUAAAGAUAUUGAGGUAAAGCAUCAGAAGGAGGUACAGAACAGAAGGAACGUCUGAAAACUUCUCCUGAUUAGUUCUUGUAUUUACAUGUUGUUUUCUCUCACAGACCAGGCUUAUUGCAGUCUAGGUUAUAGCAAGAUCAUUUCGUACACCAGAAGGCUUUGCAAUUUGCCAGUGAAAAGCCAAAUAGGAAUCAAAGAUACCAGUGAGCAAGUUCAUGCCCCAAAAGAAAAGUUGUCCAUUCUAAUAGUGGAGGAAUUAAGGCUAUAACAAACCUCAGGGCAAGGAGUGGAUUGUCGUGCUACUACACCAAGACUGAACAACGUUCUUUAAGAUAAUGCUUAAAUCAGACAAGUUGCUUACCUCAGGAGAGAGGAACUGGGUGAGGUCUAUGGCCUGUGCAGAGUUCCAGCCAGAUGGUCCGAUGAGCUCUUCUGCUCUUAAAACCCAUGAAAUGCAGGAGCAGCAGCAAUGUCUUGAGUCAAGCAGACCUGUUCCCUGCCUUUGCAAGCCGUCACAAAUGAACCAAGUGACAACGCAACAUUCACACCAGGGUGAUAUUGCAGAAUUCCUCUUCUCUGAUGUUUAAAAACCUUCACAAAUAUACUCAUGGAUGAUAUAUGUACCUGUCCUGUUGCAGCACUGUCUUUUGGGUGAAACAGAACCAUUUAUAUUCCCAUUUAUACUCAUGGAGAGCAAUCUUAACCUUUUGCUUUGCUAGGUUGGACAGAGAAACCCCUGAUGUGGGAGGAUAUACCACUCCUGUAAGGGCACACCUAGGGAGCAGACUGAGGGCAAAACAUGCUGCCAAUCAAAGCUUAACUUAAUUAGAAUAUUUUAAAACAGUCUUCUGGCUCGACAUUACUGCUCUCAGUGAUCUUCUGCCACAAGCUCUAAGGUCUAUCAAGCAAGGUGUUAAGAGUGGUUUUGACUUGAGAGAACCAUACACCUCAUUUCUUCUUAUCCUAAUAGUGGAUCUGAAAUAUUUUAGGCAAAUCUUUUUUAAAAUUACCUUUAGGUCAAAUAUAUACAUAUACAUAUAUAUACACACAUAAAUAGUAUAAAUGUUACUUCAAAAGUAUCCUCCAUAGAAUAUUAUAAAUAACGAAUCAGAUUUGUCAUUACAACAAAUGUGUCACAAUAUUCAGAUAUAUGUCAUAGAAUCAUAGGAUCAUUAAGGCUGGAAAAGACCUCCAAGAUCAUCAGGUCCAACCAUCCCCACCAUGCCCACUAAACCAAGUCCCUCAGUGCCACAGCUACACAUUUCUUGAAUGUACAUAUGCUGUUGUUAUUUAAUGCAUAGAUAGAGAAUCUCUCAUAACUGUUGUUGGUGGUUUUAUAAUACCUGACCUUCACCUGAGAGACAGGAUGCAGUAUUUUAUAAAAGUUAUCUGUACCUUGACUUACAGAAACAGUUGAGCUCGAAGUUCAGCACAGCUGUACUUAAAGGUCACCAGUAUUUCCUUAAUUUUAUGUUUUAAUACUUUGUAAAACCUCAUGCUCGAUGCGGUAGGUUUCUAAACAUAUAUUUUCAACUCCUCUAAAUGAAUGUUCUAUGCCAUGAAGAUACAGAAUGUUGCGGGAUUUGGGCAAUCUGUGGCAAAUACAACUAUUUGAAGACACUAACACAACUAGUAGGAUUGUUCUGUGUCACGGUAAAGGAUUCUGUGGGCAUAUGUCUGGUGUUGGUGGAGAAGACAUCCAUCUACUACUUCUGUUUGUUGAUGAAACCAUCCGAGUUACGGUUCUAGAACUGAAUUUCAGAGUAUGAUGCACAGUCCCUGCGCUUGGGUUACUGUCCAGACUUUGGCUAUACUUUGAUAAGAGAACGUCAGCACUCAGAAAACAUCACUUCAGAAGAACUCACCCCCUAGAAAUCCAAUAGGAAAGCAAAGCCAAUGUUUUCUUUUCGAACUGUUUCUAGCAAGGAAAAAUUGGGAGACUUGUAACAAGUAGAUCUACUUCCUCCAGAAAUUGUCUAUCUUUUUUUGUCCAG
Long non-coding RNA from Gallus gallus (chicken), 2895 nucleotides. Lineage: Eukaryota; Metazoa; Chordata; Aves; Galliformes; Phasianidae. The record is from Ensembl.